GACAGAGGGUGCAAACGUUGUUCGGAAUUACUGGGCGUAAAGCGCAUGUAGGCGGCUCGGAAAGUCGGAUGUGAAAGCCCAGGGCUCAACCCUGGAAGUGCACUCGAAACUCCCGAGCUGGAGUCCCGGAGAGGAAGGCGGAAUUCUCGGUGUAGAGGUGAAAUUCGUAGAUAUCGAGAGGAACACCGGUGGCGAAGGCGGCCUUCUGGACAGUGACUGACGCUGAGACGCGAAAGCGUGGGGAGCAAACAGG
Molecule: ribosomal RNA, 253 nt
Filed under: uncultured bacterium
Lineage: Bacteria
Description: partial 16S ribosomal RNA
Rfam family: Bacterial small subunit ribosomal RNA
Source: RNAcentral